UUGUGGCCACAUCACAUUGAAAUUCCAGUUCCUGUAUAAUCACCAAAGUUAAGCAAUGUUGAGCCUAGUCAGUACCUACAUAGGUGGCCGCUUAGGAAUAUCAGGUGCUGUAAG
This is a non-coding RNA of Acanthosepion pharaonis, 114 nucleotides long. Lineage: Eukaryota; Metazoa; Mollusca; Cephalopoda; Sepiida; Sepiidae. The record is from the annotation of a GenBank genome assembly.